UUGGAGGGCAAGUCUGGUGCCAGCAGCCGCGGUAAUUCCAGCUCCAAUAGCGUAUAUUAAAGUUGUUGCAGUUAAAAAGCUCGUAGUUGAAUUUCGGGGUCAGUAGGUUGGUCAUGCCACUGGUAUGUACUGGUCUCGCUGAUUCCUCCUUCCUGAUGAGCCGUAAUGCCGUUAAUUUGGUGUUGCGAGGAAUCUGGACUGUUACUUUGAAAAAAUCAGAGUGUUUAAAGCAAGCUAACGCUUGAAUACAUUAGCAUGGAAUAAUGAAAUAGGACGUUCGAUCCUAUUUUGUUGGUUUCUAGGAUUGACGUAAUGAUUAAUAGGGAUAGUUGGGGGCAUUAGUAUUCAAUUGUCAGAGGUGAAAUUCUUGGAUUUAUUGAAGACUAACUACUGCGAAAGCAUUUGCCAAGGAUGUUUUCAUUAAUCAAGAACGAAAGUUAGGGGAUCGAAGACGAUCAGAUACCGUCGUAGCCUUAACCAUAAACUAUGCCGACUAGGGAUCGGAUGAUGUUAAUUUUUAAUGACUCAUUCGGCGCCUUACGGGAAACCAAAGUGUUUGGGUUC
Molecule: ribosomal RNA, 564 nt
Filed under: uncultured Glomeromycotina
Lineage: Eukaryota; Fungi; Glomeromycota
Description: SSU rRNA
Rfam family: Eukaryotic small subunit ribosomal RNA
Source: RNAcentral